GACGAACGCUGGCGGCGUGCUUAACACAUGCAAGUCGAACGGUAAGGCUCCAGCUUGCUGGGGUACACGAGUGGCGAACGGGUGAGUAACACGUGGGUGACCUGCCCUGCACUUCGGGAUAAGCCUGGGAAACUGGGUCUAAUACCGGAUAGGACCGCACCGUGAGGGUGUGGUGGAAAGUUUUUUCGGUGUGGGAUGGGCCCGCGGCCUAUCAGCUUGUUGGUGGGUAAUGGCCUACCAAGGCGGCGACGGGUAGCCGGCCUGAGAGGGUGGACGGCCACAUUGGGACUGAGACACGGCCCAGACUCCUACGGGAGGCAGCAGUGGGGAAUAUUGCACAAUGGGCGGAAGCCUGAUGCAGCGACGCCGCGUGGGGGAUGACGGCCUUCGGGUUGUAAACUCCUUUCACCAUCGACGAAGGGUCUCUGACGGUAGAUGGAGAAGAAGCACCGGCUAACUACGUGCCAGCAGCCGCGGUAAUACGUAGGGUGCGAGCGUUGUCCGGAAUUACUGGGCGUAAAGAGCUCGUAGGUGGUUUGUCGCGUCGUCUGUGAAAUUCCGGGGCUUAACUCCGGGCGUGCAGGCGAUACGGGCAUAACUUGAGUACUGUAGGGGAGACUGGAAUUCCUGGUGUAGCGGUGAAAUGCGCAGAUAUCAGGAGGAACACCGGUGGCGAAGGCGGGUCUCUGGGCAGUAACUGACGCUGAGGAGCGAAAGCAUGGGGAGCGAACAGGAUUAGAUACCCUGGUAGUCCAUGCCGUAAACGGUGGGCGCUAGGUGUGGGUUUCCUUCCACGGGAUCCGUGCCGUAGCUAACGCAUUAAGCGCCCCGCCUGGGGAGUACGGCCGCAAGGCUAAAACUCAAAGGAAUUGACGGGGGCCCGCACAAGCGGCGGAGCAUGUGGAUUAAUUCGAUGCAACGCGAAGAACCUUACCUGGGCUUGACAUAUACAGGAUCGCGCCAGAGAUGGUGUUUCCCUUGUGGCUUGUAUACAGGUGGUGCAUGGUUGUCGUCAGCUCGUGUCGUGAGAUGUUGGGUUAAGUCCCGCAACGAGCGCAACCCUUGUCUUAUGUUGCCAGCACGUUGUGGUGGGGACUCGUAAGAAACUGCCGGGGUUAACUCGGAGGAAGGUGGGGAUGACGUCAAAUCAUCAUGCCCCUUAUGCCCAGGGCUUCACACAUGCUACAAUGGUCGGUACAGUGGGUUGCCAGUCCGUGAGGGCGAGCUAAUCCCGCAAAGCCGGUCUCAGUUCGGAUCGGGGUCUGCAACUCGACCCCGUGAAGUCGGAGUCGCUAGUAAUCGCAGAUCAGCAACGCUGCGGUGAAUACGAUCCCGGGCCU
Molecule: ribosomal RNA, 1340 nt
Filed under: uncultured bacterium
Lineage: Bacteria
Description: partial 16S ribosomal RNA
Rfam family: Bacterial small subunit ribosomal RNA
Source: RNAcentral